RNAcentral lists this long non-coding RNA (1875 nucleotides) under Piliocolobus tephrosceles (Ugandan red Colobus). Its description in RNAcentral is "lncRNA (ENSPTEG00000021730.1)". The record is from RNAcentral. Lineage: Eukaryota; Metazoa; Chordata; Mammalia; Primates; Cercopithecidae.
AUGUAUGUUCUAUUUGAAAUAAAAAAAAUAUAUAUAAAUAUAUUUAUUCAAUUAUUGUUAAAAUUAUUAUGUGAAAAAAAUAUACGAACACAUAAGAUGUGUUUAUUUUUAUUAAAUUAUUUAUAUAAUUAUGCUACUUUUAAUGAUAAACAAGAAAUGGAUCAUUUUAGUUUUAACAUUGUUUUUAACAAAUACUGUCAUGAUUUCCCUUAUGAGUUAUUUUUAAAAAAAAAAUUUGAUGAUAAUAUAAGAAAAAGUAAAAUUAAUAUUUACCAGUAUUUAAGUAGCUAUUCAACAAAUAUUUCGACAGUGUUUAAACAUAUGGUUACUCACGUGUGUGAUUAUCACGAACCUAUAUAUUUAAAAAAGAACAAACAACAGCCGAAAGAGGAUAGCCGAAAAAAACAAACAGACCAAACAUAUCGAAACGAUCCAGGGAUUGACAAAACGAAUAAGUAUAGUAAUGAUUACCUAGGUGACAUGGUCGGAAUAAAUAAAAAAAACGCUUGUCUAUCUAAAAAAAUAGAAAACAAUUUUGACACUUAUAAAAAUGAAAAUACUCUUUCAAAAUGUACUAAAAAAAUAAAGAAAAUAAAAAAAUGUAUUUGUAAAUAUGAAGAAGAAAUUACACCUUUAUUUUUAAACAAAAAUUAUAAAUAUAAUCUUAUUAAAACAAUAUUUAACAAAAUUAACAACUUUAUAUAUUUAUACAAUUAUGCUUUAAAAUAUACUAGUUUUUCGAUUUUUCACAAAAAUAAGUUUAACUCAACACGCAAAGGAAUUAUAAGGGGAAAUAAGACAAACGUGGAGGAUGAAUGUACCAAUUGGAGUGAGCGUACUGAAAACGGUGGAAAAAAUGAAAAAAACGAAAAAAACGAAGAAACCGAAAAAAACGAAGUAACCGAAAAAAACGAAGAAACGGAAAAAAACGAAAAAACGGAAAAAAACGAAGAAACGGAAAAAAACGAAGAAACGGAAAAAAGCGAAGAAACGGAAAAAAAAGAAAAAACGGGACAAAACGAAAAAACGGGACAAAACGAAAAAACGGGACAAACCGAAUUAAUGUUCGAAAACGUACACAUUAACAACAAUUUUAUAGACGAAAUAAACCUUAGCGAAGGAGAAGAAAAAAUGUCAAUAGAAGAUGAAAAUUUAAUUAAAGAUGUUCAUUUUUUAUUAGAUAAAACAAAAAAGAAUAUUAGUGUUAUAAAAUAUUUGGAAUAUAACGAAACUUAUUUAUAUAGUCAUAUAUUUUAUCUCUUAUUUUUAAACAAAUAUAAUUAUUAUUUGAUAAGAGGUUUUUUUACUGCUUUAUGUUACUAUUCGUCUUAUACUGAAUAUAGCAAAUAUGAAUAUACAAACUUAAUUAACAAAGGAAAAUCAAAAUCAGUUGAAUUUUUAUUUUUAGAAUUUUUAGUGAAGUAUAAAGAUAUAUAUACAUUUGGGUACAUUAGAGAUAAUAUUUUAUUUUUAUAUAUACGCUAUUAUAUAAUUUAUUUUAAAAAUUAUGACUAUUCUAUUGUUGAUACAAUUUUUAAUUAUUAUAAUAAUAUAAAGAAAAAAGAAGAAAAAAAUAGUAUAUAUAUGCACGACAAUGUUAACCAUAUAAAUAAUAUAAAUAAAAGUAAUGUUUAUAACGGAUCUUCUAAUAUUCCACCGUUUGUGCAUAAUAACAAUACAAAUGACAUUUCAACAGUGUUUUCAUCACAAUCACCACCCGACACAUCAUCCCAAAUAUCAACAACAACUAUACAGGACGAUGAAGAUUUUUCAUUAUACAAUUGCAAUAUACAUAAUAUAAAUUUAAAUGAAAUAAUUAAGUUGGAAAAAAAAAAAGAAAAAAAAUUUAAUUAUGCAAAAAAAUUUAUUUCAUAA